GGUAUGCAUAUCAGAGGCCCCCGGGGGAGAGAGAGAGAUAGGGCUGCUGGUAGGCUGCUCAGAGACAUCUGAGUGCACAGCCCCAUCCCCGUGCUUGCAAGCAACCAUCGGCCGAGAGCACAGUUGAUAGCAGAGGUCCCCUAGUUGAUAGAGUGACUGGGGGCACUGGGAACGGGUUCAUUGUUCAACAGAGCGACCACUACCGCUAGCGACUCUGCGGACUAACCCCAAGAAUACCUCCAGACCAAAACUUGGUCAGACUGGGAGGAGCCAUGGGCCUGGACAGCAGUGGCAAAUUGGCUUUUCAGAACUCCCAAGGAAAGGGAUGUUGGCUAGAAAAAGGAUCUUGAAUGUCAGACUGAAAAGGCGGCAUCUCCUAUUGCUCUCGUGAGGACAGAAGCCCCAGCUCUGCCUGCAUACCAGUGGACACAGCUGCAUUCUUCCUCCUCCUCCGUGCCACUCCUGGGAGCAGUGGCAGUGUGGGCACGACUUGUCGUUUCUCCUCACCUGAGCUGAUUUUUAAAAUAAAGGCAUUAAAAAAGGAGAAAGAUCUCUUGCCCUAUUUAUUUCACUGAUGAACAAGCUGGCCACUGCAGCAGGUGGUCUAGCAAAAUUAAAACAGUCCCUACAGUCAUCUGUAUUGUCAUUAGGAACUAGCCAGUGGCAGAUUUCAAAAGUACUGCCAAAGUGGGAGAAGGCCGGGGACCAAGACCACAAGUUAAUAGUGGAAGCGCUUAGUACGGUUGAAGAUAAUGUGUCUUUAGCUUUCAGUUGUAUACAAGCACAGUUAUGGAUGUAGGCAACAGCAGCUUUGAUCAUAUGGGAAGGGGGUGAAGGUGAUUUUCCAGCUGAAAUUCAAAAGAUUGUCUGGGAUAAUGUGAUUGAUUUUGAAAGAAAGUUUCAAUCCUUAUGGAUGAUGGUAAAUUUUACCUAUGAUCCUGUUAUGAAUAAAAAGUUAUCUAUUUUUUUUAAGGUUCCAGAGUUAAAACAAGUUGGACCAGUUGCUGUUAAGUUAGCUUCAUUGUUGAGAGCUCUUCUUCAAUUACCUGUUAAUGGUUGGUGAUUAACCAUUGUCCCCCUGAUGUUUGCCAGGGAGGGACACUGGGACCCUGCAAGUACCAGGAGAAUGGGAGUGGCAAGAGCUAGUAUUCAGAUGAGAAAUGCA
Long non-coding RNA from Passer domesticus (house sparrow), 1165 nucleotides. RefSeq lists it as uncharacterized. The transcript has 3 exons. The record is from RefSeq and is a predicted model, not a curated record. Lineage: Eukaryota; Metazoa; Chordata; Aves; Passeriformes; Passeridae.